Molecule: long non-coding RNA, 385 nt
Filed under: Lepidothrix coronata (blue-crowned manakin)
Lineage: Eukaryota; Metazoa; Chordata; Aves; Passeriformes; Pipridae
Description: lncRNA (ENSLCOG00000012504.1)
Source: RNAcentral
UCUUUCUCUCCUCUCUCCCUCUCUCUCUCCUCUUCUUUUUUCAUUUUGGCUUCUAUUCAAAUGUGGGUCAGGGGUGAGCGGCUCCCAACGUCACAAGCUUGCAAGAUGGCGCUGGGAGGAAGGCUGUGAGAUGAGGAACAGGCUGGUAUAAACCGAGAGGACAGGAGAGGGAGAGGAGGAGAGGGAAAGGGGAAGAAAAGCUGCUGCUCCAGAUGCAAUAAGAAGCGUCCCUGCUGGUUCUCCAUUCUGCAUCCGUGCAGCCACGUUCUAUUGAUGGCCUGUUGUGAUUUCAAUGGAACAUCAUGGGAUGUACCUGGCACGUCGGGCAGCACUGGAUGGAGGUGCCUUUAGCCCAAUGUACCUGGCAUGGUGGUAAGGUGAAGGU